Molecule: unclassified non-coding RNA, 235 nt
Filed under: fungal sp.
Lineage: Eukaryota; Fungi
Description: partial contains 5.8S ribosomal RNA, internal transcribed spacer 2, and large subunit ribosomal RNA
Source: RNAcentral
CGCACAUUGCGCCCUUUGGCAUUCCGAAGGGCAUGCCCGUUCGAGCGUCAUUUAAACCAAUCAAGCCUGGCUUGGUGUUGGGCAUCGGGGUCUCACCCGCGCCUCCAUUCCAUCGGCUGGACGGUUAGAAUCUCAGCGUUGUGCAAAUCAAUUCGCUAGAGAGGACGACCGGCCGCGCCGUCAAAACUCAUCAAAGGUUGACCUCGGAUCGGGUAGGGAUACCCGCUGAACUUAA